Long non-coding RNA from Canis lupus familiaris (dog), 613 nucleotides. RefSeq lists it as uncharacterized. The transcript is spliced from 3 exons. Lineage: Eukaryota; Metazoa; Chordata; Mammalia; Carnivora; Canidae. The record is from RefSeq and is a predicted model, not a curated record.
GCUGACUCGGUCGGUAGAGCAUGCCACUCUUGAUCUCGGAGUCUUGGUUCAAGCUCCAUCUCGGGCAUAGGGCUUAUUGAUCGAUCACACUAGUUGAUCCUAGAAGGAUGUAACUCCGGAACAGCCAGGUGGAAGACUUACAUGGGGCAAGGUGGAUGAAUGUGGGCACCUGGAUUUGCAAAUGAGUCUCCUGGGCUCACAGGAAAGAAGAGGGAAGAGAGCAAAGGAAGAGAAAGAGGCACAGGUGUACUGGUCCCGGCACUUGUGUCCCCAAGCAGGAUACUCACCGGAGGCAACCUCCGAAAGACAAGCGAUGAUGGUUGAGGAUUUGGGGAAAAAAUAGCUGCAUUGGAAGAAAGGCAAGGAAUAGGCGAAGAGAAAUAAUAUCUGGACCUCGCGUGAUAUUUUCUCAACUUAUAAACCAGGUUUUCCAACAUAAUAUGCAUUCAUGCUAACGACAACCUGAGGAGGUUAAAGAACCAUCCUUCCAUUCACUCUGUGGGCUGAACUGGGACCCUGCUUCGGUGGCUUGUCAUUGGAGAAAUAUGAUUGGUGUCCCUACACCAUCUGUCAUCAAUGUAGACAAUUAUUUCGAAUUAAUAGAAACAUAAUU